Molecule: long non-coding RNA, 2970 nt
Organism: Acinonyx jubatus (cheetah)
Lineage: Eukaryota; Metazoa; Chordata; Mammalia; Carnivora; Felidae
Exons: 4
Source: RefSeq, a predicted model, not a curated record
AUCAACCCUCAGUUUAUUCUCAGUUUUUAAGACACUUUUUAAAAUGAAUUUUAUGGUACCUUUUUGGAAACCUGGAAGUUCUUCAGGAUAACAGGGAUCUCAGAACAUGCUACCAGGAGCUGAAGAGGAUCCCUUGCCUAUUAGCCAUCGCCGAAGAUAGUGAGCUGUGUACUGAGAAAGUGAGUGAGGGUGGCAACCAAAAAAUAAAAGGAAAAACAGAGGCGCUGGAAUUAAAAUGAUCCUAGAAGGAGACAACAACUGCUUAUAUAAACACUCAUCUUCUAUAUAGCAAGAAAUCACAUCUCCAUGAUCUAUGCUUGACUCCAGUAUGUCAGAAAUUCUGGUUGCACAUGCCAGAACAUGGAGGGGGAUCUUCUGGGUGUUCUACACAGGGGUGUCCCCACAGCAGACAGGUAGAAGGACAUAUCACAAGUUGAAGCAAAGGCAUCUUCCCAAGAAGACCUCAGAGACAUUUCAAAUGGAAAGCACAUGGGUAUCUCCAGGCAAGAUCAAUUGGCUACCUUUCAAGAGGCCCCACAGGAUGGAUUAUCUUGGUGAGUUUACCACAGCCUAUGAUCUGGCUCUCAGCCCUGUAGAUUUAGAAACUGGAUUUUAUCAACACUUCCAACAUAGAUCUAUUUGUCAUUAGUGACUCACAUUAAUCAGCCCACAAAGACCGAUGGAAAAAGCCAGAGCAUCUAUAUAUUAGUAACUCUCCCAAAGACUGGAAUACUUGCUUAGAAUAUGAAGUCUGAGUAAGGAUUAGAGUAAGGAGAGUUUCAUGUGUCAUACAUCUGUGAGAAGGAAAUGGAUAGAGUUGGUGUUAGUGCCAGGAACUCCACACAACCUGUAGCUGAUAUUAUCCUGGGCCAGCUGGCAGUAAACUAUUACCCCUGGAGGUGGGGAGAGGAGGUUUUUGCCACAGAUGUGGUCUUUCUUCAGCUCAGUGUUUGGUAAUAGACGAUCCAUAGGGGAGAGAUACCCACCCCAAGGAUUAGGAUGCUUGCAUCUGUAGUCAGGGGUACUCUCUCCAUUGGAUAAUAAUGGUAAAUCAUAUCUAAAAAGUUGAUUGAUUGGAUGUGAGGUAUGGGGGAAAAUUAGGAGUCAAAAAUGACCCCUAGGUUUAUGACUUGAGUAACUGGAUGAAUAAUGGAGCCACAAACUGAGGUAAAGAACACGAGAUCAUGAGUUCAGCUUGGACAUACUGGAUGAUUUGGGAAUGCCUCUGAGACAUUCAAUUUGAAAUGUCCUGUAGGCAGUGACCUAUUCAGAUCUGUAACUCAGAAGUGUGAUCUGUGCCAGAGAUAUAAAUUUGGAUUUGUCAGUGUAUAGAAAACUGAAGUCAUGGGAAUUGAUAUUUUCUUGAAAAAGCAUAGAGAACAAAGAGUGGAGGGCCUAGGACAGAGUUCUGAGGAACACCAACAUUUCAUUGUUGGGUAGAGGAUGAGAAGCUGACAUAAGAGACUAAGAAAGAAUAGCCAAAAAAAAAAAAUGCUGAAAGAAAAUCAGGAGUGUGCUUGCAUGGAAACCAAACCCAGAAACUAUUUAAAGAAAACAUGUAGGUGCUUUGAAUGGUGACGUAAAUUCUAAGUAUAAAAUGGCUUGGCAUUGCACAGUUAAGUGUCUGAGAUUUAGCAAGAUUCCACCUGGUGCAGAUAUGGUCACUGGCUGCAGUAUGUCCUAUUAGGGACUUUGAAGAGUGCUGGAAAAAUCCUCUGCAUCAUGCUGCAUCUAUCCUGCCAUGGGUGGGUGGGAGGAAACACUUCAUUUGAACUGAAUUUCUGUAUCUUUUGCUAUAUAAAUAAGGGGAUGAGGAACUUAAUUGAAUUAACAACAACAACAGAACUGAAAAGAGAUAUUGGAAUUUACCAACAUAAAGUUUUCUGGUGACCUUAACAAAGCAGUUUUAGUAUAGUGAUAGGGUGGGGAUGAGAGGAGGCUGAGGAACAAAGGCCCACUCCCAGAAAAAAGGAGGUUGAGAGAGAGCGUGUGUGUAUGUGUGAGAAAUGCAAAUAUAUGUUACUUAACCUGAAGGGAAAAACCAGAUCAGAUUAUUGCUAAAUACCUUUUAAAAAACGAUUGUGUUCUCAGACUCUUAACUAUAGAGAACAAACUGAUGGUUUGGGGAGGUGGAUGGGGGGAUGGAUGGAAUAGGUGAUGGGGACUGAGGAGUGCGCUUGUCAUGAUGAGCACGCAAGUGUUGAAUCAUUAUAUUGUACACCUGAAACUAUAUUACACUGUAUAAGUAACUGGAAUUUAAAUAAAAACUAAAAAAAAAAAAAAAAAAGCUAUUGUACUUUCAGCUUUAGAGAUUGCACUUUAGCAUGCUAGCUUGGUCUUUCUUUCCAAGAGGCAUCAGUGAUGUCUUUUAAAAAAUGUUUGGCAAUGGUAGACUGUUUCUGGGAAUGUUUGAUGCCCAAGGACUGUGACCUGAAACACUGACACAAGAGGAAUGCUGGUGUCUGAGCUCAAAAGUGAGUAGCUACAUAUGGCCUGUCUGGAUUAAAUUAAGGUCAAAGUUCACAAGUGAGAAAUAUUAAACACGCACUUAGGAUGACAUCUAACAACCUCAGUCUGUGGGUUGGAACUCUAAUAAAAUUAAGGCACCACGUGCUGCAUUCAGUCACAUACCCGACUUCCACUGCUAUCUAGAAGCAUCAUUCUUGGCUUAAACCAGCAAAGAGAAAAAUAAAAGCAUACUGUUCCUUUGCAUUCCAUUUGGGAACAAGUUAACUUUGAAAAAUUCCCAGAGAUGUCAGAUUCAUGCAGGACCAGGUAAAGAGGAAAAUCCAGAUGUUUCCAUGAGCACGAGGGUAGUAGGUAUUUUCUCCUCUUAGGGUGGAGGGGGUCCCUUUAUUUCUCCUCAACAGUUAUCCCCUCACCCUCCCACUCACACAGUUUAAAAUAGCUCUCUAGAUUUCACAUUCUCCUUCGUAUUUUGUUGUCAUGAUUAAGCAUAGCUGUUUUUAA